UUAGUCGAGAAUUUAUUUGUUUUCAAGAUAAAAAAUCGAAGAUUUCUUUUGCGUCCUUAUUGCCUCCUCUUCGUCGGUUUCUGCCUCUGAUCAAUAGAUCUCAGUUUCAGAUAGAGAUACUUCAGGGAAUAACAUUUAUUUUGGGUUUUUGGUUUAUGAUUUUUGGUUUAUGGCUUUCAAUUCUUGGUUUAUUAUGAUGUUGUUCUAUUUUUUAGUUUAUAAUGAUGGGUUUAUUAUGAGUUUCUAUAAGUCAAACUCUAGCUGCCUGAUGCUUUUACUUUUUGGUUCUUUGCCCUUCGAAGUUUAACUCUGUCUAUUCAAGCACGUUGUUGUGUUCUACUCUGUUCUAUUCUACUUCUGUUAAUUUCUUGCUGGUAUUUAUUUUUGAAUUAAUUUUCAUGACUUCUUUCCACCCAAAGAAUGUAGGAAUCCUUGAUAUUUCUAGAUAAAGUUCAAUUUUUAACGGUUUUGAUUUGUGGGGUGUUGCGUGAUUUUGAUGCAGAAAGUUUUGGAGACUCACGAUGGGGCCAGCAAAGGAAAAUACACUAUUAGUCUUGGACAAGAUUGCUUGAAAUUUUGUACUGAGGUUGAAGAUGUUAUCUCUAUGAGCUUGACAGCUGUAUCCUCGCUUCUUCAAAAGUAUAAGAUUGAUCCAAAACAAAUUGGACGCAUGGAAGUUGGUAGUGAAAUUGUCAUUGAUAAAAGCAAAUCCAUUAAGAACCUUCCUUAUGUAACUCUUUGAGGUAUUGAUUCAACAAAUGCAUGCUAUGCUGGAACAACAGCUUUGUUCAAUUGCGUGAAUUAGGUGGAGAGCAGUUCAUGGGAUGGUCGCUAUGAACUUGUUAUAUGUGCAAAUAGCGCGGUGAAUCCACAAUUAUUGAAGCUUUCUUGUAGCUCAAAAAUAUCUUACAAAAUCGGAUUAAUCUCUUAGAGGCUACUCUUUGAUUUAUUGACCGACACCAAAGAUUUGAUUUUAUCUGUAGAUCCAAUAAGAAAUCUUCCAAAGUUGUUCCACGUAUCUACUAUCGUUUCUCCCUCGUCAGAAACUUUCUAAAAAGCUAAAUCAACAUUCAUUUUUAGCCAAUUUUUUGGUGGAAGUCUCUAGGUAACUAGCUUCCCUUUAAGUCUUUUAUUUUCUGUUUGCUUCUGGAU
Molecule: RNA transcript, 1152 nt
Organism: Arachis ipaensis
Lineage: Eukaryota; Viridiplantae; Streptophyta; Magnoliopsida; Fabales; Fabaceae
Source: RefSeq, a predicted model, not a curated record